AAUAAAAUUAUAAUUAAUUUAAAUUGAAGUUUUUUAGGAUUAAAAAUAAAUGGGUUUAUGUAAAAAAAUAAAAAUAAUUUAUUGAGUGAUAGAAAUUGUAAUGUAAAUGAAUAUAAGAUAAGUUAUGUUGUUAUAUUUUAAUAAGUUAAUUUAAUUAAUUGUACCUUUUGUAUCAGGGUUUAUUAAAUAAAUAUUUAAAAUUUAAAGAUUUUCGAAAUAAAAAGAGUUAAAUAAUGUAUAAAAAUUAAUGUAUAAAAAUUAUUUUAAAUAAUUAUUUAGAGAAGAUAUUUUUGUCAAUUUUUAUGAUAUCUAGUUUUUUUUGAUAUAAAUUUAAUUUAUAUAUAAGUUAAAAUUAUAAGAAAAUUAUUUUAAAAUUUUUAUAAUAAAUUUAUAUAAAAAAUUUAUGGGAUAAUCUAUAAGUUAUUUUUAAAAUAUGUUUGGUUUGAUAAAUAUUAUAAGAAAUUUUAUUAAAAUUUAAUUUUUUUUGAAAAAAUUUAAUAAUUUAUUAUAUUUUUAUUAGAUUAAUUUGUUUAUAUAUAUAAAAAUUUAAAAUUAUAUUUAAUUAUAUAAAGAAUUAUUUUAAUUAAUUAUUGUUUAAAUUUAAUUAUGAUAAAAUUAGUAUAAAAGUAUUAAAUAAUAAGUUUGAAAUUUGUAGAUUAAUGUGUAAAUUUAUUAAAGGAAUUAGGCAAAUAAAAUUUAUUGAUAAAAAUAAAACUUAGUUCACCUGUUUAACAAAAACAUGGUUUUUUGAAUUAUAAUUUAAGAUUAGUUCUGCUCAAUGAUUUGAAAUUAAAUAGCCGCAGUAUUUUGACUGUGCUAAGGUAGCAUAAUCAAUUGUUUUUUAAUUAAGAACUGGAAUGAAGGAAUUGAUGAGAUUAAGACUGUCUAAUAUAAAAUGUUAAAAUUUAAAUUUUAAGUAAUAAUUCUUAAAUAAAAUUAUGGGACGAGAAGACCCUAUAGAAUUUGAUAUAAUUUUUUAAAAUAAAUAUAAAAUAAGAUUUAAUAAAAUUAAUAUUUUAUUGGGAGGAUAAUUAAAUUAAAUUAACUUUAAAAUUAAAAUUGAACAUUAAUUUAUGAUAAUAAUUGAAUAAUUUUAUAAUAAUAAUUAAAAUUAAUUAAAAAUUAAUUACCUUAGGGAUAACAGCGUAAUAUUUUUAAAAAGAUCAUAUUGAUAAAAGUGUUUGCGACCUCGAUGUUGAAUUAAAAUAAAAAUUAAAUGAAGAAGUUUAAUAUUUUAGUCUGUUCGACUAUUAAAAUUUUACAUGAUUUGAGUUCAGAUCGGUGUAAGCCAGAUCGGUUUCUAUCUAUAAUUAGUUAAAAUAAUUUUGUACGAAAGGACUUUUUAUUUAAAAUUUUUUUUUAAAAAAAAUAAAUGAUGAAUAUAAAUAAAUUUAUUAAAAAAAAAAUUA
Molecule: ribosomal RNA, 1409 nt
Filed under: Lasius niger
Lineage: Eukaryota; Metazoa; Arthropoda; Insecta; Hymenoptera; Formicidae
Description: large subunit ribosomal RNA
Source: RNAcentral